GUGCUCACUUUGGCAGCACAUAUACUAAAAUUGGAACGAUACAGAGAAGAUUAGCAUGGCCCCUGCGCAAAGAUGGAACACAAAUUCAUGAAGCGUUCCAUAAUUUU
RNAcentral lists this small nuclear RNA (107 nucleotides) under Meriones unguiculatus (Mongolian gerbil). Lineage: Eukaryota; Metazoa; Chordata; Mammalia; Rodentia; Muridae. The record is from RNAcentral.